Molecule: ribosomal RNA, 207 nt
Filed under: uncultured bacterium
Lineage: Bacteria
Description: partial 16S ribosomal RNA
Rfam family: Bacterial small subunit ribosomal RNA
Source: RNAcentral
AGCGCAGGCGGUUUCUUAAGUCUGAUGUGAAAGCCUUCGGCUCAACCGAAGAAGUGCAUCGGAAACUGGGAAACUUGAGUGCAGAAGAGGACAGUGGAACUCCAUGUGUAGCAGUGAAAUGCGUAGAUAUAUGGAAGAACACCAGUGGCGAGGGCGGCUGUCUGAUCUGUAACUGACGCUGAGGCUCGAAAGCAUGGGUAGCAAACA